GCAGGACACCGGCCCUUGAGGCCUGGAGUUGGAGACCCCUGCUCUAAAGUAAAGAGGGAAGGAAAUACUUGUUUUUACUCCAAGUUAAUGUGGAGGAAGGAGGGGGCAGUUUGCAGCAGGAGACCAGAGAAAGAAAUGAAGGAAACGGGAAGGAAAUGACGAAGGCUUGCUCUCUGAAACAGCUAAGCUGCCACUCUCUCUUUAUCAUCCUGUAUGGAAACCUGGAAAAACACACAAACACAUAGGGUGUUGUUGUUGACUGCCAUACAAAACACAGGAUCUCAGGCACAGGAUGAUAAACAAAGAACAUGGAGAGCAAAUAGAAUUGAAGAGGACACAAUCAGAGAGACAACAGGAAAAAAACACUGUUGUGCCGAUGGAUAACAAGUGGGAAAGAGUCACAAAGAAGGAAGAACUCAUUUUGUCAAAGUCUGCAUCUCAUUUUUCAAACAGCUGUCACCUCCUUCUGCAACAGGAGUGUAAAGUGCCUGUAGCACCUACGACAACUGAGGAAGUUCAGGGUCUCUCCAGUGAUCCUCAGGACUUUCUAUACAGGCGCU
Molecule: non-coding RNA, 560 nt
Organism: Maylandia zebra (zebra mbuna)
Lineage: Eukaryota; Metazoa; Chordata; Actinopteri; Cichliformes; Cichlidae
Source: RefSeq, a predicted model, not a curated record